GCAUCAUUUCCUGUGACGUCACGAGAAGUGAACGCUUGCAAAGUCUCGGAUGUUUUGGGUAGUUUCGGAUUACAGCCUCUAAUCUGUCCAUAAUCGGAAUCAUCGAGGAAUUUCGGGUGGUGCUCAUCAUUCCUUGAUCAUUUGACUUUCUUCUUCGAUCCAGUAGACUUGCAAAUUUUUGACAAGAUGGUGAUCAAGGUCUACGUCACGAACAUUUGCAGCAGUAUGCGGCUUAAGAAAGAGAUGCUGCACGUGACGGACAUUCUCUCCAGCAUGAAUAUACCCAUGGAGACAAUUGACAUCUCCGAUCCCUCCAAAGAGGAAGACAAGAAGUUUAUGAGGGCAAAUGCAGAACCAAAGGAAGGAAUGAAGAACCCCUUGCCACCACAGAUCUUCAGUGAUGAUGAGUACUGUGGGGGCUAUGAUCGCUUUUAUGAUGCUGUGGAAUCAAACGGCAUAUACGUUUUUCUGAAGAUGGCUGACAAAAUUGAAGUAUCACAAGCACAGAUAGAGGUUGCAGAAGAGGAAGAGAAAAAAGAAAAGGAGAAGGAUGAAGACAAGGAGAAGGGAGAAAAGGAUGCUGAGGAGGACAAGGAAGACAAGCCUGAUGGAGAGAAGAAAGAAGAAACAAAGGAAGAAGAAAAGAAACCUAAGAAAUUUCGUAGACCAUUUGAUGACAGUGAUGAAGAGGAAACUCCAGCAGAAGAAAAGAAGGAGGAAGAGAAGGAGGAAGAGAAGGAGGAACCUAAAAAGCUGAAGAAAUUCCGCAGGCCGUUUGAUGACAGUGAUGAAGAAGAAACUCCAGCAGAGGAAGAAAAGAAGGAAGAGGAAAAGAAAGAGGAAGAGAAGGAGGAACCUAAAAAGCUGAAGAAAUUCCGCAGGCCGUUUGAUGACAGUGAUGAAGAAGAAACUCCAGCAGAGGAAGAAAAGAAGGAAGAGGAAAAGAAGGAGGAAGAAAAGAGAGAGGAGGAGGAGCCCAAGAAACCAAAGAAAUUCCGUAGGCCGUUUGAUGACAGUGAUGAUGAAGAAACUCCAGCAGAGGAAGAAAAGAAGGAAGAGGAAAAGAAAGAGGAAGAGAAGGAGGAACCUAAAAAGCUGAAGAAAUUCCGCAGGCCGUUUGAUGACAGUGAUGAAGAAGAAACUCCAGCAGAGGAAGAAAAGAAGGAGGAAGAAAAGAAAGAGGAGGAGGAGCCCAAGAAACCAAAGAAAUUCCGUAGGCCGUUUGAUGACAGUGAUGAAGAAGAAACUCCAGCAGAGGAAGAAAAGAAGGAAGAGGAAAAGAAAGAAGAAGAAAAGAAAGAAGAAGAAAAGAAAGAAGAAGAAAAGAAAGAAGAGGAGGAGCCCAAGAAACCCAAGAGAUUCCGUAGGCCAUUUGAUGACAGUGAUGAAGAAGAAACCCCAGCAGAGGAAGAAAAGAAGGAAGAAGAAAAGAAGGAAGAGGAAAAAAUAGAAGAAAAGAAAGAAGAGGAGGAGCCCAAGAAACCCAAGAGAUUCCGUAGGCCAUUUGAUGACAGUGAUGAAGAAACUCCAGCAGAAGAAGAUAAGAAGGAGGAAGAAAAGAAAGAGGAGCCACCUAAAGUAGAGGAGAAAGAGGAACCUCCAAAAGAAGAAAAGAAAGAGGAACCUCCAAAAGAAGAAAAGAAAGAGGAGUCAAAGGAAGAAGAUGAAGUAAAGAAACCUAAAAGGUUCAGGCGACCAUUUGAUGAUAGUGACGAAGAAGAAAAACCUGAAGAAAAGAAAGAGGAGCCUGUUAAGGAACCAGAAGAGGAAAAGAAUGAGGAAGAGCCUGCAAAGGAACCGGAAGAGGAAGAAGUGAAGAAGCCACGAGGGUUUAGGAGAGCUUAUGAGGAUGAUGAAGAUGAGACACCAAAAGUUGAGGAGAAGGAAGAACCAAAAAAAGAAGAACCAGUGGAGGAGAAAAAGGAGGAAGCUGAACCUGUUGAAGAUGACCGUGAAGCCAGACGUCGGAAGAGGCGAGAGGAGAGAGCCAAGCAGGAUGCUGCUGAAGCAGAGCCUGCGGAAGAUGACCUGGAAGCUAGGCGGAGAAAGCGCCGAGAGGAGAGAGAGAAGGAGACUGAGACUGAUGAGAGUCAAGAGGACGACCGUGCAGCCAGGAGGAGGAGGAGAAGGCAGAUGAUGGGACUGGAGGACUAGGAGCAAACCGAUGUACAGACAGAGUGCCAGGACUGAUUCAUGGUGCCUCAAGUUCUUAAGCCAGCAAGGACUGUGGAGUCAACAUUUCAUGCUGUCUGUAGACGUGGCUCUGAUAACUCCGGUAGCCGUCAUCACAUUGCACAAACUCAUGUGACCUUCACCUAUGACACUGUGAUGCCAACAAACAACUCAUGAUUGCAUGACAAGAUAUUUGUGACGUCGGAUUGUUUAUAUUGAUAUAUAAGUACUUGAGCAGGAUUAUCAUAAUUGGAAUUGACUAACUCUGCUUGUGGACCUGGUGAGUGUAGAACUGUUCAUUCUUGAAAACAUGCUCAGCAUCCAGACAAGUUGCAAAAACAAACAUUAAUUUGACAACAGUAUAGCAACCUUUACAACUCAACUCAUGAUGAAAAGGCAAAAAAUGAGUGUUUUCCUUCUUGGAAAAAGUGUGAGCUGACAUUCAACAAUGUACAGGCCUCAUCCCAGUUCUAGUGUAAGGCUUGUUGCUUGGCCAUGGUUUGUACUGUGAUUGCUAUUGGUCCUGUGUGUGAACUACAGCAGCUUGGGACUCUGCAAGCUGCUCAUUCCAGGCGUAAGUGUGUCCAACUAUUUUACACAUGCUAUGCAUUUGUGCAGACCUUAGAAAAAACCAAAUGGCAAAUACUUGACACAGAAAUUCACUUGAAUCUGCAUGCAAUGUGUUAAGGAGCAUUAUUGUCUAACAUUUGAAUAGAAAUAUCUUUCAAAUGUUAAGAACUAUUUUCAAAAGUAUUAUUAGUAUUUUGAUAUCAUCACCCAGCACUGAAGACACCAUUAUUUGAAAGACACAAAGUAUUUCUAUGUGAAUCACCUGUACAGGAAAUACUCAUUAUUACAUACAAAUUCUAACUAAAAUCUAAAAAAGUAGAUAAAUAUUGAAACAGCACACUUAACUAUAACUAUAUUGGGAAACCUGAACAAUAGACUGACUUAAGUCUGGUGAAAGCACUAGCAAUGAGAACACUUCAACAACACAGUAGUCACAUGUUGUUUAUUCCUCUAGAGCAUUAUCAUCAUCAGAAGGAGCAAUAUUCAAACAUUCAGGUCACACAGAUUGUAUGUUUGCCUUGUGCAGAAAUGUAAGGUGGAUUUGUUUCUAUUCUUUAUGCUAUUUUGAUGAUGUGUGUCUUUAUACUGCUGAGAUUAUCAACAAGGAUCCCCACCUAUUGUGCAUUGUUUGUCAGGAAAUGGGCAGUACUACAGCAAGAUGGGAUUUUCUGUUAAGGGACCAACCAUUUGAUAUCCGGGGGAUUUUGUUUUACAAAUAAUUUGCUCCAGAAAAUUAUCAAAAACGUUAUUUGUUUGUUCGACAUGCUGGAGGUCCUGAAAAAUAUGUGUUUUGGAAAUUUCAUUUGAAGCAGUCAUUGAAAUAUUGAAAUUUACUGUCUGUAACCAAUGCUAACAGAAAUUCUCCUCCUCCCCCUCGAAUAUGAAAUGGUUUGAUCCCAAUUGUUUGCUGGUAUGAAAUAUAUGAAAGUUACAACCCGACACAGUGUUGUUGAAAACCAUACUGGAUACUCAUGGUGGUAUGAUAUUUAUAUUUUAGUGUAAUAUGUGAAAUGGAUGUUUUUGUUUGUCCACUGUUACCAUGGUUCCUGUUGCCAUGAUGCAAUUCUCUACGCAAGGUCUCUUGUUUUAGCAAUACUAGCAAUCUACUACCACAGGCUGUUCAACACUACACAAGCAUUGCUCCUUGAAUGUCUAUUUUUGUAUCUGAAUAUCCAUCUAGAUUGCAUUUGCAGUGCAAUCAUUCUUUCUUUUCUGCACAGCACCUUCUUUGAUGUAUUACCCCAACAAGAAUAAUGGUCUCAACAAGUGCUUGUUUCUGUAAUUGAUCUUAUCUUGAUAUAGUUUCAACCAUCAACUGUUGCCUUCAUGGGUAACCACAGUAACCAUGGCCAACUUCAGAUGUCAUCACUUUUGGUGAAAGAUGAUUUAUCCUGAUCAUUUGUCCAGGUUGUCCAUUCUGUGAUAUAACUGAAAUACUGGUAUAAGCGGAGUUAAAACAAACUCACUCACUUUUGUGAAAGGUUAGCAUGUCUCCAUAGGUCUCCAGCAACCUAUGCUGGUUGUAAGAGAUGAUUUAGGUCAGGCUCGGUGACCUGGUUCAUUGUGUGCCACCGUACCCCGAUAGCAUGGAUAAUUGCUCAUAAUACCAAUCACGAGAUUGUCUGGUUCAGACACAAUUAUUUACUGGUCACCAUCAUACAGCUGGAAUAUUGCUAAGUGUGGCAUUUAAGGUAAACAAGAUAUAAACUAGACAUGAUUAUGGCUAGUAUGAGUCCAUUAUUCUGAAGGGGAAGCUGCUGUGGUAUUGUGUAGUGCUGUAGUGCACUGUAGUUCCUGCCGCUGCUGUUGUUGCAGCACUAGUAUUGAGCCCACUCACUUGUUGAUGUUGCCAUAUAAACUAGUUUAUGUUUGCUAUGUGAUGUUAUACUAGAGAACAUAAAACUAGUUAAUGUAACACUAGUCAAUGUUAUACUAGUUCCUGUUAUGCCAGUUUUACUUGCACUAUUUGUUUUGUUUGUCUGUCUGUCACCACAGAGUUUAAUAUAUAUUAUCAUUGUCCUGCCAUGAACUACAACCACACUUAAUCAUGAGUAUUGGAAACCCAAGUUUCAGCAAGAUUAUGUCGUGCGGUGACAUGUAAGAAAUCAAUACUGUAAGUGAAGUUUAGGCCUAUGUAUGCAAUUAAAAUUGGAAUAUUUACAAGUAAAUAUGUUUGUACUGAUAUGUUCAGUAUUGUUGAUGGGCAUAUUCAUAUGGUUGUGCUCAAUAUUUAUGAUUAGUGAUAAGAAGUAAUAUGAAUUAUUUUGAAACUAAUUUAUUAAGCCUUAUGACAUUUGAUCCAAGUAAUGGGAUGCUUAUUUUAGACUGCUUUUGUGUAGAUUGUACUGAUGCAAUGUUAUUUUUACCUUGUCAGCAAUGUUUUACUUUUAGUUUUAGUCCCCAAUGAAGCCAGUAACAAUGUCUAGUGUUAACAUUUGAGUAUGCAUGAAAUGCAGUGGAUGUUUUCUACAGUCUGAUGGUCUUGUGAUGGAUACAGUACACUAUUCUCAAUCUAGUUGAAAAUAUCACAGCAUCAAGAUGCUCAUUUAUAGAAACAGAAGCACUAGCCCAAGCCAGUUUCACCAAUGUUAAAGGUAUCUGAAGGACAUGAAUUUUGAACACUUUAGAUGUGAUUAUAUAUAUCACUAUUGGGGCUAGUAAGCUUAUAAGUGCAAUAACCUUAACGUUAAAAAAUAUCUCAUCUCGCUUCACAGGUUAAAUUCUAUUUCUAGGUUGUAGGAUUAUGUUUGAUUUUUUAAUUUUAUUUCCCUCUCCUCUUACCCACUUUUGUUUGAUGCAGGAUGACUUGAAUUUGAAUUUAAAAUGAACUUCAUGUUUGUGGUAAAAUACAUCUUUGUCAAGAUAUUCUAAAAUGUGUUAUAGACAAUUUAAGACCUUACUUUGAAUAUGCCUCACAACCAUGAGGUAAUGUCUGAAGCAAGAACCACAUAUCAAGAAGUCUUUGUGAUCGUGUGUAGCAGCUGUAGGGUGUGGCUGUCAUCCCAGCAUGCUUUGCAAUCUCAUUAAAAUAAGAUCGUUUACUCCAUUAUGAGCGACUGUGCUUGUCGUAAGAGGCGACUAACAGGAUCGGGUGGUCAAGCUUGCUGACUUGUUUGAUGCAUGCCAUCGAUCCUAAAUGUGUGGGUUGCAGGACAACUUCACUGUCAAGUUAAAAACAGUAAUCAGUGCUAAGGUUUUUUGUCAAAUUUUCUACAGCCUGGCAGGUAGGAUUACUGAUAAAUUUACCUAUUUCCGACAGAAAUGUUGUAAGCCACAGGAUAGCCAGCAGGCAGUUGUUUUGGACACUGGUUCCAAAUGUAAAAUAUAAUGUAGAAUACAUUAUGUUGGAGAUUUUAUGCACCCUUUUAUUUCUAAGUGUAUGGUGGUAACAUUUCGGAGUAAAAGAUCUGAUCUUAACGAGAUUGGAAUGCUUUACAACUUUAUCAGUGUGUGUGCGAGUGUAUCUGAUUUUGUGGUGCUAGCCGUAUUGGUCAGUCUCCACCUCUUGACUCUCACAUCUCAACAUCACAGCAGGCAACAAAGAUUAUCAGUUGACCUUAAAGGACAAAAGUUCUUUUGUAUACUGUAGCUGCCAUUCAAAGUUACAGAUAUGAUUUGAAGUUUUGUCACAUGAAUAUAAUCUGAAUAUGAAUUUGGUUCUGGAGUAAACUAAGUUGAAGACAUUCAUGGUAUAUGACAUUUUCCACCAGUUCAAGGUACAGGUGUAUUGUUUGGUGUGUAGGCUUAGAGAUCUUCAUCAGUGUGGAGAAGGUGUGACCUGUUUUACACGAAGCUGUUAAUAUUCUUACUUACUGUGUAAAUUAUUACUAUUCCAUUAAACCUUUUAUGCCAUGA
RNAcentral lists this unclassified non-coding RNA (6597 nucleotides) under Haliotis rufescens (red abalone). Its description in RNAcentral is "trichohyalin-like, transcript variant X1". The record is from RNAcentral. Lineage: Eukaryota; Metazoa; Mollusca; Gastropoda; Lepetellida; Haliotidae.